AGCAUACUGCCGUGAAUACGUUCCCGGGCCUUGUACACACCGCCCGUCACACCAUGAGAGUUGGGAAUACCCGAAGCCUGUGAGCUAACUUUUAGAGGCAGCAGUCGAAGGUAGAAUCAAUGAUUGGGGUGAAGUCGUAACAAGGUAAC
This 149-nucleotide ribosomal RNA is filed under the name uncultured bacterium. Its description in RNAcentral is "partial 16S ribosomal RNA". It matches the Rfam family "Bacterial small subunit ribosomal RNA", at positions 1351 to 1500 of the family's 1533-position model. The record is from RNAcentral.